Non-coding RNA from Vicia faba (fava bean), 228 nucleotides. The record is from the annotation of a GenBank genome assembly. Lineage: Eukaryota; Viridiplantae; Streptophyta; Magnoliopsida; Fabales; Fabaceae.
AUGAAGGAGACAAGGAUUGAGAAGACUCACGAGCCGAUCGAAGAUGCCGUUCGUGCAGAGGUUGCGUCAAGAGGCCCAGGGCUGAUGAAGCGGUGUGUCAUGCGCGAGUCUUGCUCACCGGCGGUGUCUACGGAGGAGAGAGGCUGCGGGUGCAUCACGGUAGCUGGGCGUAGUAAUCGGUUUGCGGUUCUGGCCGGAGCAGAUGAAGGGAAGCGUUUGUGGGUAUGA